CCUACGGGAGGCAGCAGUAGGGAAUCUUCCACAAUGGGCGAAAGCCUGAUGGAGCAACGCCGCGUGAGUGAAGAAGGUUUUCGGAUCGUAAAACUCUGUUGUAAGGGAAGAACAAGUACAGUAGUAACUGGCUGUACCUUGACGGUACCUUAUUAGAAAGCCACGGCUAACUACGUGCCAGCAGCCGCGGUAAUACGUAGGUGGCAAGCGUUGUCCGGAAUUAUUGGGCGUAAAGCGCGCGCAGGCGGUCCUUUAAGUCUGAUGUGAAAGCCCACGGCUCAACCGUGGAGGGUCAUUGGAAACUGGGGGACUUGAGUGCAGAAGAGGAAAGUGGAAUUCCAAGUGUAGCGGUGAAAUGCGUAGAGAUUUGGAGGAACACCAGUGGCGAAGGCGACUUUCUGGUCUGUAACUGACGCUGAGGCGCGAAAGCGUGGGGAGCAACCAGGAUUAGAUACCCUGGUAGUCCACGCCGUAAACGAUGAGUGCUAAGUGUUAGGGGGUUUCCGCCCCUUAGUGCUGCAGCUAACGCAUUAAGCACUCCGCCUGGGGAGUACGGUCGCAAGACUGAAACUCAAAGGAAUUGACGGGGGCCCGCACAAGCGGUGGAGCAUGUGGUUUAAUUCGAAGCAACGCGAAGAACCUUAC
RNAcentral lists this ribosomal RNA (645 nucleotides) under bacterium HN2-10-68. RNAcentral describes it as "bacterial SSU rRNA". It matches the Rfam family "Bacterial small subunit ribosomal RNA", at positions 338 to 974 of the family's 1533-position model. The record is from RNAcentral.